AGCUUCUACUUCAACAAGUUGUGAAUAUGAUUGAAGGGCAGCCAUUAUUGAAUCGCUUCAUGUGGGAAAAAUGCUGAAGGAAAUCAUUGCAUAUUUUGGCUACAAGAAGAUUCAAGUUUAUGAUAUAGAGAUUCAGGGAGUCUAGCAUGGGUGAACUUACUCCUGACAGACCCAAACACAGAAAGAUAUCUGAUUGCAAGAGGAGUGACAAACUUGUCUCUGAAUUGAAAGAGAAGUUCAACCAGAAUCUAGGGUGGAACAUGGCUAACCUGGCAAAAAAAAAUGGGUGUGCUAAGAUCAACAGUCAGUCUGGCAGUGCAGAAAAAUUUUGUUCUCAGGAACCGACAACUGUUGACUGAAAAGAACAAGAUCAGUUGGAAAGUGAAGGCCCAGGCUCUGCUUAAUGACAUCAACUAUGAUAGUGCUAAUUUCCUG
This 435-nucleotide long non-coding RNA is filed under the name Androctonus crassicauda. Lineage: Eukaryota; Metazoa; Arthropoda; Arachnida; Scorpiones; Buthidae. The record is from RNAcentral.